RNAcentral lists this ribosomal RNA (491 nucleotides) under uncultured Pelagibacterales bacterium. Its description in RNAcentral is "bacterial SSU rRNA". It matches the Rfam family "Bacterial small subunit ribosomal RNA", at positions 340 to 852 of the family's 1533-position model. The record is from RNAcentral. Lineage: Bacteria; Pseudomonadati; Pseudomonadota; Alphaproteobacteria; Candidatus Pelagibacterales.
UACGGGAGGCAGCAGUGGGGAAUCUUGCACAAUGGAGGAAACUCUGAUGCAGCGAUGCCGCGUGAGUGAAGAAGGCCUUUGGGUUGUAAAGCUCUUUUGUAGGGGAAGAUAAUGACUGUACCCUAAGAAUAAGGUCCGGCUAACUUCGUGCCAGCAGCCGCGGUAAUACGAAGGGACCUAGCGUAGUUCGGAAUUACUGGGCGUAAAGCGCGCGUAGGCCGUUGAGUUAGUUAAUUGUGAAAUCCCAAAGCUUAACUUUGGAACUGCAAUUAAAACUGCUCGACUAGAGUUUGAUAGAGGAAAGCGGAAUACAUAGUGUAGAGGUGAAAUUCGUAGAUAUUAUGUAGAACACCAGUUGCGAAGGCGGCUUUCUGGAUCAACACUGACGCUGAGGCGCGAAAGUAUGGGUAGCAAAGAGGAUUAGAUACCCUCGUAGUCCAUACCAUAAACGAUGAUUGCUAGAUGUGGAAAUUUAUUUUCAGUAUCGCAGC